UUGAAAGAAUGCAGAGGAUGUUUCGUUCCAGUCAGUUGGUGGGAGUUCGAAAUCCGAAUUCUGCAGAGUAUCUGAAGGAGAAGAAACAAAACAAUGUUGACAAGUUGGGAAGAAUGCUAUGAACAGGCUGUUUGGAACAACUUCAUGAGAGGUACGUGUAAAUGUGAUAAUACAACUAUGAAAGGGCCUUUUCUUUAAAAUUUAAACCAAUCAAAAUGGAGUAUAAUAUUAACAUGUUUUCCCCACCUAUA
This is a non-coding RNA of Salvia hispanica, 251 nucleotides long. The record is from RefSeq and is a predicted model, not a curated record. Lineage: Eukaryota; Viridiplantae; Streptophyta; Magnoliopsida; Lamiales; Lamiaceae.